UUUUUUUUAAUCCGUCUUGAAGCUGAAGACGUUCGAUGCUGGAAAGUCCUAAUAUAAAGAAGGUCUACACUGAAUAUGUAAUGAUGGAUAUCAUGCAGAUUUCCUUUGAACACUAUAUUUCUGAAGAUGAAUUUCAUUCUCCCCCAAUAUGGCAAGGCUUUCCCACAGCAGUAUCAAAAUAUGAAUAGUUAAUGCUUCUAUUAAAACAAGCU
Molecule: long non-coding RNA, 212 nt
Organism: Phacochoerus africanus (Common warthog)
Lineage: Eukaryota; Metazoa; Chordata; Mammalia; Artiodactyla; Suidae
Exons: 3
Source: RefSeq, a predicted model, not a curated record